GGAAAUUAAUGCAAUCCAUUUUAUAAUGAAUAGAAACAAAUGACAGGAAAAAGUAGCAAAAAGUUUGAAGGAGUGGCAAAACCAAGAAAGGAAUUAUAACAAGAAUACAAUUUACUUAAAAAGGUAAAUAAUAUGGUCAAAGAAUGUUAAUUUAAGGAACCAAAUCCUAAUUCUCCAACUCCAAUUCUGUCAAGACAGAGUCUCAAGACCUGAUUUCUUUCCCACCUCUCUUUCUUUGCUAGCCAUUAAAAUAUUAGGGACCAAAAUACGCAGGAGGAAAGAGGACAGCAAUUAUAUAUUCGAACAAAUCUAGAGUUGCCAAGGGGGUGGGGCCAUGUGUUUGUACUUCACCUUUUCCUAAUUAUUAUUAUGCUACAAUGCGUGCAUGUGUGUGGUGUUUUAAAAACUGAAAACAAUACAAUUAAUAAUUAUAAGCUCAAACUUUACACUUCAAUCCUCACUUUUUAAAAAUGAAUUAAUGGUUCUCAACUUUUUAAUUUCAUAACUUAAAUUAUCAUAUAUUUUAGUCCCUAAGAAUUUGUUUUGAAUAACAUUUUAGUCCUUGAAUUUUGUAAAACUACUCUUUCAAUUCCUAAAACUAAAAAGUGAGAAACUGAAAUGUUAUUUUUUCUAAAAAAGUGAGACAAAAGUUAUAUUACUUAAAAAGUGAGGAACUAAAAUUUAAUAAA
RNAcentral lists this unclassified non-coding RNA (689 nucleotides) under Hevea brasiliensis (rubber tree). Lineage: Eukaryota; Viridiplantae; Streptophyta; Magnoliopsida; Malpighiales; Euphorbiaceae. The record is from RNAcentral.